This is a long non-coding RNA of Tupaia belangeri chinensis (Chinese tree shrew), 558 nucleotides long. RefSeq lists it as uncharacterized. NCBI's taxonomy places the organism in Eukaryota, Metazoa, Chordata, Mammalia, Scandentia, Tupaiidae. The transcript has 3 exons. The record is from RefSeq and is a predicted model, not a curated record.
AAAUCACCAGAGGAAAUGUCACCAGCAGCAAGCAUACUGGCUAAAACAACCAAACAGAGGCCACGGUCAUGGGGACUGAGAGAGGAGAUUUCACCUUUGAGAACAGGAAGGCAUCACCCUUUGUUGGACAAUGCCCAACUUGGCCUGCCUCACUUGGUCCUGCCCUCUUCCUCUCUAGCCCUAAUCAACAAUGCUGAUUCUCAGGGAUAGCAUGUGCCACACAGCAAAACUUACCAAAAGGAAAUUAAAAAAAAAAAGAAAAGAAAAGAAAAAGAAAAUGAGGGCUGCAGUGCUGGCCCCACAGUGAAAUCCUGGAGCUGGAUCUUCUGUGGCCCAUUAUGAUUCCAAUCUAGUCCCAACUGGUGGCCAAAGACAUGUGUGAAUACUCCUAAAUCCUGAAGGAUGGAAAAAUAGAGGAGCAGGGCAAGAGGCCACCUGUGUAGCACCUGGAAGCUCCUGAGGCAGUGUGUGCUCCAUCCCACAGAACAGAGACACACAUUCUGGUACGGGCAGAUCCAAGUUUAUUUCUUAUCGCAAGCUGAAAUAAACAAUGCUCAA